This 220-nucleotide ribosomal RNA is filed under the name Entamoeba histolytica. Its description in RNAcentral is "partial small subunit ribosomal RNA". It matches the Rfam family "Eukaryotic small subunit ribosomal RNA", at positions 907 to 1086 of the family's 1831-position model. The record is from RNAcentral. Lineage: Eukaryota; Evosea; Mastigamoebida; Endamoebidae.
AGAGGUGAAAUUCCAUGAUCGCUAUAAGAUGCACGAGAGCGAAAGCAUUUCACUCAACUGUGUCCAUUAAUCAAGAACGAAAGUUAGGGGAUCGAAGAUGAUCAGAUACCCUCGUAGUCCUAACUAUAAACGAUGUCAACCAAGGAUUGGAUGAAAUUCAGAUGUACAAAGAUAGAGAAGCAUUGUUUCUAGAUCUGAGUAUAUCAAUAUUACCUUGUUC